This 480-nucleotide ribosomal RNA is filed under the name uncultured bacterium. RNAcentral's name for it is "partial 16S ribosomal RNA". It matches the Rfam family "Bacterial small subunit ribosomal RNA", at positions 30 to 507 of the family's 1533-position model. The record is from RNAcentral.
AUUGAACGCUGGCGGUAGGCCUAACACAUGCAAGUCGAACGAUGACUCACUAGCUUGCUAGAGAUGAUUAGUGGCAGACGGGUGAGGAACAUUUAGAAAUCUACCUAGAAGUGGGGGAUAGCGCGGAGAAACUCGAAUUAACACCGCAUACGACCUACGGGUAAAAGGGAGAGCAAGCUAUUGCUAUUAGAUGAGCCUAAAUCAGAUUAGGUAGCUGGUGGGGUAAAGGCCGACCAAGGGGACGACCCGGAACCGGGCUGAGAGGAGGAUCAGUCACAACGGAAACUAGACAAGGUCCCGAACUCCAAGGGGAGCAACAGUUGGGAAUAUUUGACCAUGGGGGGAACCCUGAUCCCGCCAUGCCGCGUGUGUUGAGAAGGCCUUUUGGGUGGUAAGCACCUUAAGCAGGGAGGAAAGGCUAGUGGUUAAAUCCCAUGAUAUUAGACGUUACCUGCAGAAUUAGCCCCGGCUAACUCUCUG